CAGGGAAUCUUCCGCAAUGGACGCAAGUCUGACGGAGCAACGCCGCGUGAGUGAAGAAGGAUUCCUGUUCGUUAAACUCUGUUGUUAGAGAAGAACAGCGUAUAGUGUAACUGUUAUGCGUGUGACGGUAUCUAACUAGAAAGCCACGGCUAACUACGUGCCAGCAGCCGCGGUUAUACGUUGGUGGCAAGCGUUGUCCGGAUUUAUUGGGCGUAAAGCGAGCGCAGGCGGUCAAUAAAGUCUGAUGUGAAAGCCCCCGGCUCAACCGGGGAGGGUCAUUGGAAACUGGUUGACUUGAGUGGAGAAGAGGAGAGUGAAAUUCCAUGUGUAGCGGUAAAAUGCGUAGAUAUAUGGAGGAACACCGGUGGCGAAGGCGACUCUCUGGUCUGUAAAUGACGCUGAGGCUCGAAAGCGGGGGUAGCAAACAGG
This 429-nucleotide ribosomal RNA is filed under the name Bacteroidota bacterium. Its description in RNAcentral is "Bacteroidetes bacterium partial 16S ribosomal RNA". It matches the Rfam family "Bacterial small subunit ribosomal RNA", at positions 355 to 776 of the family's 1533-position model. The record is from RNAcentral. Lineage: Bacteria; Pseudomonadati; Bacteroidota.